UUUGACAGAAUUCUUCGGAAGGAAGUUGAUUAAGUUUAGUGGCGGACGGGUGAGUAACGCGUGAGUAACCUGCCUUUGAGAGGGGAAUAACUUCCCGAAAGGGAUGCUAAUACCGCAUGACGCAUAUUUAUCGCAUGGUAGAUAUGCCAAAGAUUUAUCGCUCAAAGAUGGACUCGCGUCCGAUUAGCCAGUUGGCGGGGUAACGGCCCACCAAAGCGACGAUCGGUAGCCGGACUGAGAGGUUGAACGGCCACAUUGGGACUGAGACACGGCCCAGACUCC
This 282-nucleotide ribosomal RNA is filed under the name uncultured bacterium. RNAcentral's name for it is "partial 16S ribosomal RNA". It matches the Rfam family "Bacterial small subunit ribosomal RNA", at positions 62 to 339 of the family's 1533-position model. The record is from RNAcentral.